Molecule: small nucleolar RNA, 135 nt
Organism: Eupeodes corollae
Lineage: Eukaryota; Metazoa; Arthropoda; Insecta; Diptera; Syrphidae
Product: small nucleolar RNA psi18S-841/snoR66
Exons: 1
Source: RefSeq, a predicted model, not a curated record
AGCAAGGGCACUCUGUGUUACAAGAAAAUUUUAGUAUUGUAAAACAAUUUGUAACCUUGCAAGAAAAAAUAUCACUAAUUUUAAAUUUGUCUUCUGUUUUUUCAAGGAAUCAAAUUAAAUAUAGUGAAACAUUUU